Non-coding RNA from Podarcis lilfordi (Lilford's wall lizard), 2794 nucleotides. The record is from the annotation of a GenBank genome assembly. Lineage: Eukaryota; Metazoa; Chordata; Lepidosauria; Squamata; Lacertidae.
AACAGGAGGUUGAAGGUGCCAUCCAGAAUAUGCAGUUGGGAAAAUCUCCAGGACCGGACGGUUUAACCUCAAAAUAUUACAGAACUUUGAAAGACUGGUUAAUUCGACCAUUAACUGAGGUUUGUAAUGAAAUUCUAGAGGGGAAAAGAGCGCCAGAGUCGUGGAAAGACGCAUUUAUUACACUUAUACCAAAGGUUGAGACUGAAAAGACACAGCUUAAGAACUACCGGCCCAUAUCCCUGUUAAAUGUGGAUUACAAAAUUUUUGCUGAUAUCUUAGCAAAAAGGCUUAAAAAAGUGCUAAAUGGAGUGAUUCACAAGGACCAAGCUGGCUUUCUUCCAGAUAGACAUCUUUCGGACAACACAAGGAACAUAAUUGAUAUUCUGGAGAAGCUGCAAGAGGAGAUCAAUACUAAAGCAGUUUUGAUUUUUGUGGAUGCAGAGAAAGCCUUUGACAAUAUUUCUUGGAGUUUUAUGAAGAAAAAUCUUCAGGGGAUGGGGGUAGGCCAAGAGUUUGAAAAUGGUAUAAAUGCAAUUUAUUCAGAGCAAAAAGCUAAAUUAAUAGUUAACAAUGUGAUAACAGAGGAAAUUAAGAUAGAGAAAGGGACACGACAAGGCUGCCCAAUUUCCCCAUUACUUUUUAUUUCUGUUCUGGAGGUUUUGUUAAAUAUGAUAAGAAGGGACCAUUUGAUUAAGGGUAUAACGGUCGGAGCGAAACAAUAUAAACUGAAAGCAUUUGCAGAUGACCUUGUAUUGACAUUACAGGAGCCAGAAUCUAGUACGAAAAGAGCAUUAGAACUGAUUCAAGAGUUUGGUCAGGUGGCAGGUUUUAAGCUGAAUAAGUUUAAAACUAAAGUACUUGAGAAGAAUUUAACACUGAUUGAAAAAGAGAGGUUUCAGAAUGAGACAGGUUUAACAGUGGUAAAAAAAGUGAAAUAUUUGGGGAUUCACAUGACAGCUAAAAAUGGGAAUUUAUUUAAAGACAAUUACGAAAAGUGUUGGUCGGACAUUAAAAAGGAUUUAGAAAUAUGGACAAAUUUGAAGCUUUCCUUGUUAGGUCGAAUUGCUGUCAUCAAGAUGAAUGUAUUGCCAAGAAUGCUGUUUUUGUUUCAAUCGAUACAAAUAAUAGAUAAAAUGGACUGUUUUAAGAAGUGGCAGAGAGAUAUUUCUAAGUUUGUCUGGCAGGGCAAGAGGCCCAGGAUAAAAUUUAAAAUAUUGACUGAUGCUAAAGAAAGAGGGGAUUUGCCCUGCCAGACUUUAAACUUUAUUAUGAAUCAGCAGCUUUCUGCUGGUUGAAGGAUUGGUUACUUCUGGAAAAUACUGAUGUUUUGGACUUAGAAGGUUUCAAUAAUGUGUUUGGGUGGCAUGCAUAUUUGUGGUAUGACAAGGUUAAAGCUCACAAAAUAUUUAAAAACCAUAUUGUCAGGAAAGCAUUGUUCAAUGUCUGGAUAAGAUAUAAAGACUUAUUGGAAAAUAAAACCCCAAGGUGGCUAUCACCAAUGGAGGCAAAGGCCCUAAAAAGUCCAAUAUGGAGGCCAAGUGGCCAAAAUAUUGGGAGAUCUUGGAACAAGAAGGAGAUAAAUUCAAAUUGCAGAGUUUUGAAAAAUUAAAAGAUAGAGUGCGAGACUGGUUGCAUUACUAUCAAAUAAGAGAGGUUUAUAAUUUGGAUAGAAAAAUUGGCUUCCAGGUGGAAAAAUCAAAGUUGGAAACAGAACUGUUAGAUCCCAAAACUAAAACACUUUCAAGAAUGUAUAACUUGCUGCUAAAAUGGAAUACUCAGGAUGAAACGGUAAAAUCUGCUAUGAUUAAAUGGGCACAGGAUGUUGGACACAACAUUAUGUUUGCUGACUGGGAACGGUUAUGGACCACAGGUACGAAGUUUACAGCAUGUAAUGCUUUAAAAGAGAAUAUAAUGAAAAUGGUGUACAGGUGGUACAUGACCCCAGUCAAGCUUGCAAAAAUCUAUCACUUGCCCGAUAAUAAAUGUUGGAAAUGUAAAGAAACUGAAGGUACAUUCUUUCACCUUUGGUGGACGUGCCCAAAGAUUAAGGCUUUCUGGGAAAUGAUAUAUAAUGAAUUAAAAAAGGUAUUCAAAUAUACCUUCCCUAAGAAACCAGAGGCCUUUCUCCUGGGCAUAGUCGGCCAAUCGGUGUUAAAAAAGGAUAGAACUUUCUUUAUGUACGCAACAACAGCAGCAAGAAUUCUCAUCGCAAAGUAUUGGAAGACACAAGAUUUACCCACUCUGGAAGAAUGGCAGAUGAAGGUAAUCGAAUAUAUGGAACUGGCUGAGAUGACUGGCAGAAUCCGUGACCAGGGAGAAGAGUCGGUGGAAGAAGAUUGGAAGAAAUUUAAAGACUAUCUACAGAAAUACUAUAAAAUUAAUGAAUGUUAAAUUGAGGUCUGACUGAAAAUAACUGGUAUUGGCAAAAGUCUUGUGAUUAAGAGCAUGGAAUAUUUGAUGGAUAAAGCUGUAAUAUUUAUAUAUAAAUAGAUUAACUUUGAGUUAAGAUAAAGAAAGGAGGGUAAGGAUUUGCUGAAAGGAGUUUUUAAAUGGAAAUACAAGCGGGGAGAUGCGGGGAAGUCAAAGAAUUAGGUAAUGAUAAGAAGGUUAAAUGAAAGUAUAUUAUUUUUUAAAUUUUUCUGUCUCUUUUUCUUUUUUUUCUUUUUCUUUUUGUGUUAUGGAUAUUGUUAUCUAUGUUUGUAUUUUGUUAUGGUUAUUGCUGUUUUCUGUUUGUCGAAUUUUUGUAUUUUUCUACAUCUUUUGGAAUUUGUUUUUGUAAAACCAAUAAAUAUUA